Long non-coding RNA from Mauremys mutica (yellowpond turtle), 568 nucleotides. RefSeq lists it as uncharacterized. The record is from RefSeq and is a predicted model, not a curated record. NCBI's taxonomy places the organism in Eukaryota, Metazoa, Chordata, Testudines, Geoemydidae. The transcript is spliced from 3 exons.
GGUAGUCUCUAGAGGGAAGGGAGAACCCCUGUAAAGAGGAGACCAAAGCCUCGUAAACCUUGUAUAUAGUGUUGCUGGUGGUGGGUACUAAUUGUAAAUAAAAACCAUGGGUGCUGCAAAAGCCUGAAGCCUGAAGGUGCUUUAUUGAAGGAGCCCAGAGCAGCAGGAAGGCAGGCCAGGAAAGGGACCUGGUUACAGGCAUAUAUUUCUUCACAUAGUAUUAGGAAACCUUAAGUCUGCAAAAGCAGGAGAGAUAUUAAUAGGAACAGAGGUGCAUUCCUGAUCAUGCAGGAUCUCUUUGCACUUCCUGUCCAGCUGACCAUAUUUGACAUGCAAGACUCUGCAUCUGCACUGAGCAGGAACCAUCCCUGAGGGCUAUUCUGCAAACGCCAUUCUAAAAUCUGGGAAGUAUUAUGUGGGGAGGAAGGAAAGUGCCUAGAAGUGCCAGUCAUAGACCAAGACCCCAUUGUGCUGCGUGCUGUGCACGAACAAAAAGACAGUCCCUGCCCCCUGGAGCUUACAUUCCUAUUUUGUCUUGAAAUGAAAGGAAGAGAAAACAAAGUGGGUC